UUUUUCAACUUCUAAUUUCAGAUGAUACAACAACAAAAACUGUGGAAAAUGAAAGCACGACAGCAAACAACAAACCGUCAGGAGAUUCACAACAUGGUGUCCAGUGGUUCAUCAUUCCAGCUGUGGGUUUGGUCUCACUCUUGAUAAUAGUUGUGGUUUUCAUCAGAUGGAAGAGAACUAGAGGAAAUAAAACACAGAUGGAUGAAGAUGCUGUGAGUUUUAACAUAAAUAAUUAAUGUUUUUACAAUUGGCAUUAAAUAAACAACAAAUCCGAUCAUCUCUGAGCGGUGUUAACAAGAACUAAACUGCCUUCACAGACACAGUUUACCACCUGAUGUAACCAGAUUAUGUCUGUUUUUCAGGGACUGAGUUUAAACCCUGCAGAGACUCGGUCUGCUCCUCAAACCAGUCAGGACUCAGUGAGAUCACACACUACACCCAGAGCAGAGUUACAACCACCUAUUCUUUAAUGUGUUGUCUAAAUGUAAAUGCAUGACACACUGAGACUCUGAUGGUAGUGAUUUUGAGGAGUGGUCUGCUUCUGAAUGUGAAUAAGACCAGAUAGAUGGCGAAUGACUUCAGAAGGAAGAUGAUGGUUAUAUAACCAGUGUUUAUUCUGGGACAGUAUGGUUGUCUGUCUCUCUCUGUUUGCCCUGUGACAGGGCUGGGCAUACAGGGUGUACCUCACCUCUCGCCCCAUGGUAGCUGGGAUAGGCUCCAGCCCCCCCAGUGACCCUGAUAAAGAUAAGCAGAAGAGAAUGGAUGAAUGGACAAUGUUGAUGUGGUGGAGGAGGUACAAGUAUCUGGGCAUCCACAUCUGGCCAUUGAACAAAUUGUUGCUCAUUACAGUCACACUGACCUCCCUUAUUUAACAGGAAUUGGAGGAUGUCUUGAUGUAUGCUCAAUCAUCCAGGUAACGUUUCGUCACUCAUCCAAGUGACUUCUUCAGUCUCAGCUGACUGCAGGUUUCUCCAAUCUUAUAAACAGUACAUUUGCAUAAUGACUGAAACCAGCAUCACUGAAGGAACAAUGGGCUGGGAGGUCAGUUCCUUGAUCAUUAACGUUUCUCCCACUGAAAACGCUACGUCCAGAUGAACAGAAUCAACUUUUGGGGAAGUGGAGGAUCUUCUGUAGCAGACUGAUUCAGCUCUGCUGCCACAAAAAACAAAAAUAUUUCAUACCCCAUGCGAUCACCUUCUACUAUAAUAAUAAUAAUAAUAAUAAUUCUUAUUAUUAUUAUUAUUAUUAUAAUUAUAAUAAUAGUAUUAGUUACACAAAAGUGUAAAGUAUUUCUCAUGUCAUCAUGUUAAUGUGUCUGUAUCUUCUUGUCUUCACUGUAUAGGUGGAUCCUGAAGUUUCCUACGCUACCAUCAGCUACACCAAGACCAACAAUAAAGUUCAGGUUCGGGGUGAUGAUGAAGGUGAUGCAGUGACCUACAGCACUGUGAAGGCUCAUUCCUCUUCUCACUCGUCACUCUGAUCAGCCACUGCUGAUCCCAGCAGCCUCUCCUCUGCUGUCACUUUUCCACUCACAUAGUUCAAGUUGACAAAAAGGACUUGCAUUUAAGUUAAAGACUUUUGUUUUGUGUUUGCAUACAGCAGAUUGGUAGCAACAUGCUAAUUAACGUAAAUGAUUAGAUAGAUACCAUAAUUAUAACAAAUAUUUGGUUUCAAAUCCAGAAUCAUGUCUUUAUAUCCUCCAUUAAAACUAUGUAAAUAAAUGUAAAUAGAAACUUUUUCUUAAUUUUCUUAAUGAAGUCAGACCAGUGUGUUUCCAUAAUGUGAUCCAAGUGUGAAUAUCUAAAUGCAAACAAACCAAAAGCCUUGCAUAGAUAUUACUGAUAUAGUUAUAUGUUUAUAUUUUAUGAUAUUUCACAGGAAAAAAAACUUUUCUGCAAACAUUUUUGUAAGUUAUCAAAAAAUAAAAUUGGUCCUGGUUAGUGCAGCAGAAGACAUGUGGAGGUUGAAAUUUAAUUUAAACCCUGGUUACACUUGCUGUUCAGUUUAAUUUAAAUGCAUUAAUUUAACUAAGUAAUGAU
Molecule: long non-coding RNA, 2039 nt
Organism: Oreochromis aureus
Lineage: Eukaryota; Metazoa; Chordata; Actinopteri; Cichliformes; Cichlidae
Source: Ensembl